Molecule: ribosomal RNA, 493 nt
Filed under: Clostridioides difficile
Lineage: Bacteria; Bacillati; Bacillota; Clostridia; Peptostreptococcales; Peptostreptococcaceae
Description: partial 23S ribosomal RNA
Rfam family: Bacterial large subunit ribosomal RNA
Source: RNAcentral
UGCGUGGAAGGGCCAUCGCUCAACGGAUAAAAGCUACCCUGGGGAUAACAGGCUUAUCUCCCCCAAGAGUCCACAUCGACGGGGAGGUUUGGCACCUCGAUGUCGGCUCAUCACAUCCUGGGGCUGUAGUAGGUCCCAAGGGUUGGGCUGUUCGCCCAUUAAAGUGGUACGCGAGCUGGGUUCAGAACGUCGUGAGACAGUUCGGUCCCUAUCCGUCGCAGGCGUAGGAAAUUUGAGAAGACCUGUCCUUAGUACGAGAGGACCGGGAUGGACGUACCUCUGGUGUACCAGUUGUCCUGCCAAGGGCAUGGCUGGGUAGCUAUGUACGGAAUGGAUAAGCGCUGAAAGCAUCUAAGCGCGAAGCCAACUUCAAGAUAAGAUUUCCCACCGCAAGGGUAAGACCCCAGAAAGACUAUCUGGUUGAUAGGUCGAAGGUGUAAGUGCAGUAAUGUAUUUAGCUUAUCGAUACUAAUAGGUCGAGGACUUGACCAAU